GCGCCGGUAGCCCAAUUGGAUAGAGCACCGGAUUUCUACUCCGAUGGUUGGGGGUUCAAGUCCCUCUCGGCGCACCA
RNAcentral lists this transfer RNA (77 nucleotides) under Saprospiraceae bacterium. Its description in RNAcentral is "tRNA-Arg". It matches the Rfam family "tRNA". From Rfam's summary of the family: Transfer RNA (tRNA) molecules are approximately 80 nucleotides in length. Their secondary structure includes four short double-helical elements and three loops (D, anti-codon, and T loops). Lineage: Bacteria; Pseudomonadati; Bacteroidota; Saprospiria; Saprospirales; Saprospiraceae. The record is from RNAcentral.